UGGGGAAUAUUGCACAAUGGGGGAAACCCUGAUGCAGCGACGCCGCGUGAACGAAGAAGGUAUUCGUAUCGUAAAGUUCUGUCCUAUGGGAAGAUAAUGACAGUACCAUAGAAGAAAGCUCCGGCUAAAUACGUGCCAGCAGCCGCGGUAAUACGUAUGGAGCGAGCGUUGUCCGGAAUUAUUGGGCGGAAAGGGUACGCAGGCGGUUUAAUAAGUCGAAUGUUAAAGAUCGGUGCUCAACCCCGCAAAGCAUUGGAAACUGAUAAACUUGAGUAGUGGAGAGGUAAGUGGAAUUCCUAGUGUAGUGGUGAAAUACGUAGAUAUUAGGAGGAAUACCAGUAGCGAAGGCGACUUUCUGGACACAAACUGACGCUGAGGUACGAAAGCGUGGGGAGCAAACAGG
This 403-nucleotide ribosomal RNA is filed under the name bacterium. RNAcentral describes it as "partial 16S ribosomal RNA". It matches the Rfam family "Bacterial small subunit ribosomal RNA", at positions 355 to 776 of the family's 1533-position model. The record is from RNAcentral.